Molecule: ribosomal RNA, 393 nt
Filed under: uncultured bacterium
Lineage: Bacteria
Description: partial 16S ribosomal RNA
Rfam family: Bacterial small subunit ribosomal RNA
Source: RNAcentral
AUACGUAGGAUCCGAGCGUUAUCCGGAUUUAUUGGGCUUAAAGGGAGCGUAGGUGGCUUGUUAAGUCAGUUGUGAAAGUUUGCGGCUCAACCGUAAAAUUGCAGUUGAAACUGGCAGGCUUGAGUACAGUAGAGGUGGUCGGAAUUCGUGGUGUAGCGGUGAAAUGCAUAGAUAUGACGAAGAACACCGAUUGCGUAGGCAGCUGACCAGACCGCAAAUGACGCUCAUGCACGAAAGUGCGGGGAUCGAACAGGAUUAGAUACCCUGGUAGUCCGCACAGUAAACGAUGAAUACUUGUUUUCGGCGAUAUAAUGUCGGAGGCAAAGCGAAAGCGAUAAGUAUUCCACCUGGGGAGUACGCCGGCAACGGUGAAACUCAAAGGAAUUGGCGGGG